Molecule: ribosomal RNA, 1345 nt
Filed under: uncultured bacterium
Lineage: Bacteria
Description: partial 16S ribosomal RNA
Rfam family: Bacterial small subunit ribosomal RNA
Source: RNAcentral
GACGAACGCUGGCGGCGUGCUUAACACAUGCAAGUCGAACGGAAAGGCCCUGCUUUUGUGGGGUGCUCGAGUGGCGAACGGGUGAGUAACACGUGAGUAACCUGCCCUUGACUUUGGGAUAACUUCAGGAAACUGGGGCUAAUACCGGAUAGGAGCUCCUGCUGCAUGGUGGGGGUUGGAAAGUUUCGGCGGUUGGGGAUGGACUCGCGGCUUAUCAGCUUGUUGGUGGGGUAGUGGCUUACCAAGGCUUUGACGGGUAGCCGGCCUGAGAGGGUGACCGGCCACAUUGGGACUGAGAUACGGCCCAGACUCCUACGGGAGGCAGCAGUGGGGAAUAUUGCACAAUGGGCGGAAGCCUGAUGCAGCAACGCCGCGUGCGGGAUGACGGCCUUCGGGUUGUAAACCGCUUUCGCCUGUGACGAAGCGUGAGUGACGGUAAUGGGUAAAGAAGCACCGGCUAACUACGUGCCAGCAGCCGCGGUGAUACGUAGGGUGCGAGCGUUGUCCGGAUUUAUUGGGCGUAAAGGGCUCGUAGGUGGUUGAUCGCGUCGGAAGUGUAAUCUUGGGGCUUAACCCUGAGCGUGCUUUCGAUACGGGUUGACUUGAGGAAGGUAGGGGAGAAUGGAAUUCCUGGUGGAGCGGUGGAAUGCGCAGAUAUCAGGAGGAACACCAGUGGCGAAGGCGGUUCUCUGGGCCUUUCCUGACGCUGAGGAGCGAAAGCGUGGGGAGCGAACAGGCUUAGAUACCCUGGUAGUCCACGCUGUAAACGGUGGGUACUAGGUGUGGGGUCCAUUCCACGGGUUCCGUGCCGUAGCUAACGCUUUAAGUACCCCGCCUGGGGAGUACGGCCGCAAGGCUAAAACUCAAAGGAAUUGACGGGGCCCCGCACAAGCGGCGGAGCAUGCGGAUUAAUUCGAUGCAACGCGUAGAACCUUACCUGGGUUUGACAUGGAUCGGGAGUGCUCAGAGAUGGGUGUGCCUCUUUUGGGGUCGGUUCACAGGUGGUGCAUGGCUGUCGUCAGCUCGUGUCGUGAGAUGUUGGGUUAAGUCCCGCAACGAGCGCAACCCUUGUUCACUGUUGCCAGCACGUUAUGGUGGGGACUCAGUGGAGGCCGCCGGGGUCAACUCGGAGGAAGGUGGGGAUGACGUCAAGUCAUCAUGCCCCUUAUGUCCAGGGCUUCACGCAUGCUACAAUGGCUGGUACAGAGAGUGGCGAGCCUGUGAGGGUGAGCGAAUCUCGGAAAGUCGGUCUCAGUUCGGAUUGGGGUCUGCAACUCGACCUCAUGAAGUCGGAGUCGCUAGUAAUCGCAGAUCAGCAACGCUGCGGUGAAUACGUUCCCGGGGC